GUCGAGAAUUUUUCUCAAUGGGCGCAAGCCUGAAGGAGCGACGCCGCGUGGAGGAUGAAGGUCUUCGGAUUGUAAACUCCUGUCAUUAGGGAACAAAGCUCCCGGUUAACUGCCGUGGAGUCUGAUAGUACCUGAAGAGGAAGAGACGGCUAACUCUGUGCCAGCAGCCGCGGUAAUACAGAGGUCUCAAGCGUUGUUCGGAUUCAUUGGGCGUAAAGGGUGCGUAGGUGGCAGGGUAAGUCGGGUGUGAAAUCCCGGGGCUCAACCCCGGAACUGCACUCGAUACUGCCUUGCUCGAGUACUGGAGAGGAGACUGGAAUUUACGGUGUAGCAGUGAAAUGCGUAGAUAUCGUAAGGAAGACCAGUGGCGAAGGCGAGUCUCUGGACAGUUACUGACACUGAGGCACGAAGGCCAGGGGAGCAAACGGGAUUAGAAACCCGUGUAGUCC
RNAcentral lists this ribosomal RNA (449 nucleotides) under uncultured bacterium. Its description in RNAcentral is "bacterial SSU rRNA". It matches the Rfam family "Bacterial small subunit ribosomal RNA", at positions 354 to 796 of the family's 1533-position model. The record is from RNAcentral.